Bactrocera neohumeralis is the source of this 953-nucleotide long non-coding RNA. RefSeq lists it as uncharacterized. NCBI's taxonomy places the organism in Eukaryota, Metazoa, Arthropoda, Insecta, Diptera, Tephritidae. The record is from RefSeq and is a predicted model, not a curated record. The transcript has 2 exons.
UAACGGACAAUCGGUAGUGGUCACGUCGGAUACGGGCAGGGAGCAGAAAAAUUCUUUCAAUUUUUUAUUUUUUAAAAGUUUACACAUUACUAUUAAUACUCCUGAAAGUUUUUUGAAUACAUACGAUAAAAUUAUUUACUGCAAGUUGUUAAAAUUAUAAAAGUUAUGCCGCUGCGUGUAUGUCAAAAAUCUACCUUCAAUCAAAACAAAAACCAGAGUUGUUAAAUGGCAAAAAGUGACAAAUGAUAAAUUUUAUUUCUGUUGCCGUGUUGUUGUUGCUGUUUGUAAUUCAUCAGGGCGACAUCGCUGACGGCGAAGCUUGCAGAAAAUUUCACAAAUAGGAUACUACUACAAAAAUCAUUCUUAAAUUGCAUUUAUUAAUUUACUGCUUUGGAGUUUAAAAUCCCUGAUAAAAUAUUUAACAUGUGAAUUGGAAUUAUGUUUAAAUCAAUCAAGAAGGAUAAAAUUUUAGAACAAAAAAACAGACAGCCUACAUUUCCUCUCUGCUUAAAAGCAGUGAAGUAAAAGGAAAAAAACAACAAACUGAAGAAAUUAAAAUAAUACUGUGUUAUAGUUGAGAGUACCAAUUUCGAAUAAAUCAGUUCCAGGGACAGCAAGUGUUAGUGAUUGUGUUUCUAAUCGUCCCGCUAAUGGAAAAAGAACGGGGCGGCAGCAGCACGCGAGUUGCGUCGUCAAACGACUCCACCACUGUCAAACUCGUCGACAUACAAAAAAAGACAAGUAUUUUUUAAAUAUUUUUAUUUCUCUGAAAUGUAAGUUGAAUCUUCAGAUUCAACUACAUACAUAUGUACAUAUAUAAGAUAUGCCGGGUCGUUGAUGCUGAGGAAUGUCAAGUCAGCACAACGGCUUCAGGUAAAUUUAGGAAAUAAGAUUUUUGUAAAGAAUAAAAUGAUGAUUAAUAAACUGGACGGCAAGCCGCUCAGUACGGUAAA